CUCCCAAUUAUCAAGAGAUUUAUUCUAUUUGUAUUAGCGUAGUCUAUCAUUUGAGUGAAUGUCCCACGGCUGCAUAGUUUUCACCUUUCAUCCAAGAAUAAGUUCAAGUUGCUCUAGGCUACUCUAAGUCUGUUAAUUAUCCAUUCUCAAACACAUAUAACUCAAGUUGGAGGAACCAUCAUAAUUUUUCUUAGAAACCCCAACUGACUCGGCUCAGACCCAAAUUAUUCUUAUGCAAAACUUUCAAAAUAGGCCC
This 256-nucleotide long non-coding RNA is filed under the name Elaeis guineensis (African oil palm). Its description in RNAcentral is "long non-coding RNA (EGUI_LNC057777)". Lineage: Eukaryota; Viridiplantae; Streptophyta; Magnoliopsida; Arecales; Arecaceae. The record is from RNAcentral.